This 724-nucleotide long non-coding RNA is filed under the name Brassica rapa (field mustard). Its description in RNAcentral is "long non-coding RNA (BRAP_LNC005395)". The record is from RNAcentral. Lineage: Eukaryota; Viridiplantae; Streptophyta; Magnoliopsida; Brassicales; Brassicaceae.
AUUAAUAAAAAUUUGAUAUAAGUUCUAUUUUUGAAAAACUAAAACUAAAACAUGACCGGUAAAGUUUAAUGAUUUAGAAAAAAAAAUAAAGCUAAGAUCAACCAAUCACUCUCAAUAAUCAUGAGAACUAUAAUCAUUCUACAAGCAUUUUUUACGUUUGUUUUUUCUUUUAUUUUUUAUUUGUAUGGGUCCGGUUUGUUUGAAGUGAGGUUUUUACUGGUUUUGGUCCUUUUGGAUAAUAUCAGAUCAUCUUUUUACUCUCGCACCUUCUAUUUUUUAAGUGCCCGGUAAUAUCAGAUAAUGUUAGAUAUAUUACUGAUUCAUUAUUAUUUUUAUUAGAUAAAUUAUAUUUUUUCUGUUUCAUAAAAAUAUCAAUCUGUCUUUUUAUUUUAUUUAGAAAAAUGUUUUUUUUAUUAUUCUACAUUUUCAAUAAACAGUUCAUAUUAAAUCACUUUUUUAUUUUUUUUAAAUAACCAAUAGAUGUUUAAUUAAAUUAUUUUCAUUUAAACAAUCAUACAUUAAUACAUUUCAUUGUUUUUUUAAUAUGAAUGAAAUGUGUAAGUAAUACUUUUUAUAAAAUGGAAGGAGUAAAUCUUUCUCAAAGAUCCGAUACUCAUGUUUCCGAAAAUAACAUAUUCACCACGUGGGUCGACAUGAAGUGACCUUAUUGAAUUAAGCUUCUCUCUCUUUUUUUUUGAGAAAGGGCAAAUCCAUAAAAUCCUUU